This 686-nucleotide ribosomal RNA is filed under the name Pilobolus umbonatus. RNAcentral's name for it is "eukaryotic LSU rRNA". It matches the Rfam family "Eukaryotic large subunit ribosomal RNA", at positions 66 to 647 of the family's 3401-position model. The record is from RNAcentral. Lineage: Eukaryota; Fungi; Mucoromycota; Mucoromycetes; Mucorales; Pilobolaceae.
UAACAAUGAUUUCCCUAGUAACGGCGAGUGAAGAGGAAAGAGCUCAAAGUUGGAACCUGUUUGGCUUAGCUAAACCGGAUUGUAAACUGUAGAAGUGUUUUCCUGACACGCCUGGUAAAAAAGUCCUUUGGAACAGGGCAUCAUAGAGGGUGAGAAUCCCGUCUUUGGCCAGAGCUGUUGUCUUUUGUGAUACAUUUUCAAAGAGUCAGGUUGUUUGGGAAUGCAGCCUAAAUUGGGUGGUAAAUCUCACCUAAAGCUAAAUAUUUGGGAGAGACCGAUAGCGAACAAGUACCCUGAGGGAAAGAUGAAAAGAACUUUGAAAAGAGAGUUAAACAGUAUGUGAAAUUGUUAAAAGGGAACCGGUUGGAGCCAGAUUGGCUUGGCUGUAAUCAUUCUGGGCUUUGGCCUUGAUGCACUUGCAGUCUUUGCCUGCCAACGGCAGUUUUCUUCAAUAGGGAGAAAUUGGUAGAAAUGUAGGUCAGGUUUCGGCUUGGCUGUUAUAGUCUAUCAAAUAAUACCUUGAAGGGGACUGAGGAUCGCAGUGAAUGCUUAGGCGGUAAUUUUAGUUUGUUAUUCUUGUUUAUGUUGGCAAAAUGACUAUGUUCGGGUAGUGUUAUCGAUGUAAGCGGAAGUACCAGGCUAUAUUUCUAAUUCACUUAGGUCGUUGGCUUAAUGACUCUCAAUGA